RNAcentral lists this long non-coding RNA (1266 nucleotides) under Triticum aestivum (bread wheat). RNAcentral's name for it is "long non-coding RNA (TAES_LNC018970)". The record is from RNAcentral. Lineage: Eukaryota; Viridiplantae; Streptophyta; Magnoliopsida; Poales; Poaceae.
UUGACAUGUUGAGAAAUAAUUAAGUGCGAAAUUCUAAGGCUGUAUGAUCUAUUAACAACAUGAAUUGCAUUUUUCAUCCUUACUGGAUGUUGAGCAUGGCUAGAUUAUAUUUGGCAUUAACACCAUCGGUGUGUAUGCAAAAUCCUCUUUUUUCUCAAUUAUGGUUAAUGCUAUUGUAUGAUACAUAAAAAUUUAGAUAUGAGGGCACUCUUGCUGUAUACACAUGGUAUGACUAUUCUGAAAAAGUUAAAAUUAUAAAAGCAGAUAAGUUCACAGGUUCACCGGUGGAAGUUUUAGGAAUAAAAAGAUCAAAGAAAAGAAGAGUUCAUAAAAUGGUAGUACUGUCUGCUGUUGGCUGAUGUCUCAUGUUGCCUGAAGCCCCUGCUGCUUGCUAGCUACUUGUUGUGCGUGCGCAUUUGUGUGCUGCUGCUGUUUGUUGCUGCAGCAGGGUGAUGUGUGUGAGAGAGAUAGAUAGCAAAUGGAAUUAUCUUCCACAUUGACUAACUCGUGACACACUUGGUUCAGUUUCUAAAUUUAAUCUUGUUCAAUUAGAAUUUUAAUUCAGUUCAAAGACUGUUUCUAUUUAUCUCCUCGAUGUUCAGUUUUGUGUUCUGUUGUUUGCCCCCAAUUGAUCCUUGUGUUAAUGUUUGUAUAUGUUGUGCACUUCUGAUCCCAUAGUGAAGUGAAAAAUGACAAGCGAGAUACGUACUAGUUUGGAAAGUUUCCAAGUUUGAACACAUAAACCUAAAAAAGUUCAUUGAAAAAGUUUGGUUUGCCUGUUCCGUGAAAAUGUCUUGCUAAAGAAAUAUCUCUUGUGCACUUAUUUAUUCGCCUGAAUAUUUGUUUUGAUUCUUAGGUGCGAGAUGGCGGCCGCUGACAUCUCUAAAUCCCUCUACAAACAGGUGGUUGGCUACUCCAAGCGGUAAAUGUGGUCGGAUUCAGCAGCUAGCUCUUCCUCGAGCAACCAUUUGGAGAACUUUAUUGUGUUCUUGUGGUGGUGAUUGAUUUUAGGAUCAGUAAAGUUGAUGUUGGUAGCUAACUUGCGUAUGGAACCUGCAAAUUCAAUAUUGGCAUUAGAUUCAGUUCUUGUACAAAUGUCCCAGAGUUCACAUUUAUGUGGGUAAAAGUUUAUUUUAAUUCAGCUACAGAAACCAUGCAGGUUCAGUGAUGAUGAUACCAUAAGUUCGGACAAGAAAAAAAAUAAGAAUUAAAACAAAAUACUUUAAAUUCUAUAAGUUCAAGUGCUCAUCCACACAAGGUAAUUCA